GCAUUGCAGGGAGGGCACAAGGUGCAAAUGUACCCCACUGCCCCGGGUGUGUCUGAGCCUUAGCAGUGCCUUCAAAUUCCUUCAGGCUAUGUGAUCUUCAUCACCAGCUUCUCUUCAGUGCUUCCUGCUAGCCCAGCCAUCCACCAUCUCCUGAAAGAGCAACUCUAGGGGCUCAUCCGCAUGGGAAUUUAAUGUGGAUUUGAAGCUACAUGUGCCUUGAUUUGGGGGCGUUGUCCACAUGAUGUUCUCCCCCAUUCAACUGACAGCCUACGGUUCUUCAACGCUAAACUUGGAUUUUUAUGAUCAAGGUGAAAUCCAAAAUGGGAGAGUAAUUUCAAUAUAAAAUUGUUUGUUUCCUGA
This is a long non-coding RNA of Podarcis raffonei (Aeolian wall lizard), 360 nucleotides long. RefSeq lists it as uncharacterized. The record is from RefSeq and is a predicted model, not a curated record. Lineage: Eukaryota; Metazoa; Chordata; Lepidosauria; Squamata; Lacertidae. The transcript is spliced from 2 exons.